Molecule: unclassified non-coding RNA, 244 nt
Filed under: plant metagenome
Description: partial contains small subunit ribosomal RNA, internal transcribed spacer 1, and 5.8S ribosomal RNA
Source: RNAcentral
UCUCCGUUGGUGAGCCAGCGGAGGGAUCAUUACCGAGUUUACAACCCCCAAACCCAAUGUGAACCAUACCAAACUGUUGCCUCGGCGGGGUCACGCCCCGGGUGCGUCGCAGCCCCGGAACCAGGCGCCCGCCGGAGGGACCAACCAAACUCUUUCUGUAGUCCCCUCGCGGACGUUAUUUUUACAGCUCUGAGCAAAAAUUCAAAAUGAAUCAAAACUUUCAACAACGGAUCUCUUGGUUCUG